GUUUGUAGACUUCGGUCUGCUACCUCUUACCCAUGUCUUUUGAGUACCUUCGUUUCCUCGGCGGGUCCGCCCGCCGAUUGGACAACAUUCAAACCCUUUGCAGUUGCAAUCAGCGUCUGAAAAAACAUAAUAGUUACAACUUUCAACAACGGAUCUCUUGGUUCUGGCAUCGAUGAAGAACGCAGCGAAAUGCGAUAAGUAGUGUGAAUUGCAGAAUUCAGUGAAUCAUCGAAUCUUUGAACGCACAUUGCGCCCCUUGGUAUUCCAUGGGGCAUGCCUGUUCGAGCGUCAUUUGUACCUUCAAGCUCUGCUUGGUGUUGGGUGUUUGUCUCGCCUCCGCGUGUAGACUCGCCUUAAAACAAUUGGCAGCCGGCGUAUUGAUUUCGGAGCGCAGUACAUCUCGCGCUUUGCACUCAUAACGACGACGUCCAAAAGUACAUUUUUACACUCUUGACCUCGGAUCAGGUAGGGAUACCCGCUGAACUUAAGCAUAUAAUGCGGA
RNAcentral lists this ribosomal RNA (502 nucleotides) under Epicoccum nigrum. RNAcentral describes it as "eukaryotic LSU rRNA". The stretch from base 138 to 291 matches the Rfam family "5.8S ribosomal RNA". Lineage: Eukaryota; Fungi; Ascomycota; Dothideomycetes; Pleosporales; Didymellaceae. The record is from RNAcentral.